CCUGGUGUGAAUGUAUUGACGGCUUUGCUUAACAAGUAUGAGUAAGUGUGUCAGCGACAGACAUUAUGCUCAUUACGUUUGUGCAGAAAGUCAAGGUCAGUCUCGGACGGAGAGUCGGGUGCUUCAGCCAUCCCUGCGUUUUUUCUCUUAAAUAAAAAUGCCUUUAAUGUCUGCAGUGAUGAAGGCAGUCCGAGGCUGAUCUUGGUCGAGCACGAAAAGCAAAGUCUUCCAAAGCUCCUUGCCUUGAGCUCAGCAAUGGUAAUGUCGUUAUGAAGGGAGCAGCUUCCUCGUUCUCUCUCCCUGUCUGCUGAAGGCCUGUGGGCGGAGCCUCCAGACCCUGCCUGCGUAUGAUAAUGAGGGGCGGGGUCGAUGCUUGGACGCUCUCGCCAAGAUUAGAACAGAUUAGAAAAGAAAAAGAAAAAACCUACCUCAGGGUAAAGUUACCUCAGUAUUCCUUUUUUUUGCUUGCUGGUCUUCUAUAUAAUAGGAAAAAAAUUGCUGAGAGUCCUGAAUAUUUUUUUAUUUUUUUAAGAAAAUUUUUUUUUUUCUUUUUAGGUAUUGAGUUAUGGCUUUGGUAGUUUUUUUUUUCUUCCUUUUUUGUGUUUUCUGGUGUGAUGGUUGAAUGAGUUCAGGAUGACAAAGAUGCUGUUUUCUUUUUUCCUAAGUGGAGAGAGAUCGGUCUGCUGGUGUAGAGAAGAAACGGGUCCCAUUUUUCCAUCUUUUGGGGGGAAACAUGCUCGGUCUUCCUGACGUGUGAGUGGAGCCUCUGUAGUCUGAAACAGAGAAAUGGCCAAAAGGGAGUUAUGUUUAACUCGAGAGAGGAUCCUCAAGUGCACAUGGUGACCAAGCUCGCCACCGGGGUAAUCGGAUAACCUUUGUGUCAUACCCCGUUCCUGUGGCUUCUGGCCUGCCGUGUGCCCUGAAAUACCCUCCUCUCCUCGUCUUAUUUUGACGACAUUGCCACGAAGCGCCAAACAUUAUGAGACUGCUUUACAGACCUGCAAUAUUGGCAUAUGAAAAUGCGACCUUUCUCACCUGGAGGUUGGGACUUUAAAUAUUAGCGGUCCACCUACAGAGUAGCUGUACUGUGUCAGGUGUUUUACUUACACACAGGAACUAGCUCGGACUUCUCUGAAUGUGAAUAUUUAUUACCUGUGCACUGACCGUGCCACCUCAGAUGCUCCCUGUUGGCUACACGUGUGCUUGUUGUGUGUAUGUGUGAAUGCAGGCGCGUCUGUGUUCGCUGGUUUUAAAUGUUCCUUUUUUAAAAGUCAGGGGAUGUGUUUGGGUGAUGUGGUUGAGGAAAAAAUAAGCAGAUAAAAGUAGGAUGAGAACCCAGUGGAGAAAAUCCACAAAUCUUUUAGAGGAAAAAGAUGGGAGCUACAGCAACGCAGCUGGGAUAAUAUUCUAACCUGUACAUAACAUGUUCGAAAUGUGAUCUCUAACCUUUUGUACUUUUGGAGAAAAAAAAACCUUAAAAAUCAAAGUGGGAAAGAACCAUCAGACAGAAA
Long non-coding RNA from Astatotilapia calliptera (eastern happy), 1511 nucleotides. The record is from Ensembl. NCBI's taxonomy places the organism in Eukaryota, Metazoa, Chordata, Actinopteri, Cichliformes, Cichlidae.